RNAcentral lists this ribosomal RNA (512 nucleotides) under Epicrates maurus (brown rainbow boa). Its description in RNAcentral is "partial 16S ribosomal RNA". It matches the Rfam family "Bacterial large subunit ribosomal RNA", at positions 1816 to 2597 of the family's 2925-position model. Lineage: Eukaryota; Metazoa; Chordata; Lepidosauria; Squamata; Boidae. The record is from RNAcentral.
AACCUUUAGCCCAAACCAGUAUUAAAGGCAAUGCCUGCCCAGUGAGAAUAUCUUUAACGGCCGCGGUACCCUAACCGUGCAAAGGUAGCGUAAUCAUUUGUCUAUUAAUUGUAGACCAGUAUGAAAGGCCACAUGAGAGCCAAACUGUCUCUUGUAAUAAAUCAAUUAAACUGAUCUUCUAGUACAAAAGCUAGAAUAAACAUAUAAGACCAGAAGACCCUGUGAAGCUUAAACUAACCUAUUAAAUCAUAUAAUAGCUACUUUCGGUUGGGGCGACCUUGGAACAAAACAAAACUUCCAAAAGAAUGAGACUCCCUCAUAAACCGCAGGCCAACAAGCCAUAAUACGACCCAGUACAACUGAUUAUCGAACCAAGUUACUCCAGGGAUAACAGCGCUAUCUUCUUCAAGAGCCCAUAUCAAAAAGAAGGUUUACGACCUCGAUGUUGGAUCAGGACACCCAAAUGGUGCAGCCGCUAUUAAAGGUUCGUUUGUUCAACGAUUAACAGUCCU